GAAUUCGAUUCAGGCCUAACACAUGCAAGUCGAACGAUGAAGCUGGAGCUUGCUCCGGUGGAUUAGUGGCGAACGGGUGAGUAACACGUGAGCAAUCUGCCCUUGACUCUGGGAUAACUGCGGGAAACUGUAGCUAAUACCGGAUACGACACCUUGGGGCAUCCCAGGGUGUGGAAAGAAUUUCGGUCAAGGAUGAGCUCGCGGCCUAUCAGCUCGUUGGUGAGGUAAUGGCUCACCAAGGCGACGACGGGUAGCCGGCCUGAGAGGGUGACCGGCCACACUGGGACUGAGACACGGCCCAGACUCCUACGGGAGGCAGCAGUGGGGAAUGUUGCACAAUGGGCGAAAGCCUGAUGCAGCAACGCCGCGUGAGGGAUGAAGACCGUCGGGUUGUAAACCUCUUUUAGCAGGGAAGAAGCGAAA
RNAcentral lists this ribosomal RNA (423 nucleotides) under uncultured bacterium. Its description in RNAcentral is "bacterial SSU rRNA". It matches the Rfam family "Bacterial small subunit ribosomal RNA", at positions 39 to 455 of the family's 1533-position model. The record is from RNAcentral.